AUGUCUUAUCUAAUGUCUUGUAAGUAUUUAUUCUCUUUAUAUUAGUGGAUUAUGUUCUAUUUGGUUAAUCUGAGUUUAUGUUGAAAUGUUAAAUGUUAAUUAUGUGUAUGUGUAUGUAUUUGGAAGUUUGUGAAAUGAGGAAUGAUCUGAUAAGCUAGAACUGUUGCUAACUUGAAUUCAUUAAAUUAUUAUCUGCAUAAUUUGUAAUAUUUAUGCUGAUACGUUUUUAUGAGAUUAUAAAUUUCUGUGCAUACGUUCUUAUGUUAUCUCUUAAUUUAUUGAUUAAAAUCUCCUAAAUCACUACUAUAAAUCUAAACAAUUCUUAGAUUUAUAUAAACUGUUUUGAUAUUUUCCUUUGUAAUUUAUUAUCCUUUGUAAUUUAAUUGUUAUAUUAUCCUUUGUAAUUUAAUUAUGAUAUUAUCCUUUGUAAUUUAAUUGUUAUCUCUUAAUUUAUUGAUUAUAAUCCCCUAAAUCACUACUAUAAAUCUAAACAGUUUUUUUUGAUUUAUAUCAACUGUUUUGAUAUUAUCCUUUGUAAUUUAAUUGUUAUCUCUUAACUUAUUGAUUAUAAUCCCCUAAAUCACUACUAUAAAUCUAAACAGUUUUUAUAUUUAUAUCAACUAUUUUGAUAUUAUCCUUUGUAAUUUACAUGACGACUAGGUACGAUUUUGUUGAUGACAUCAGCCUUGUCAAAGAGACGUGGAAGAUUAAAGUCAGGAUAACUCGACUCUGGAAUAUGCCAAGCUUCAACAAAGCAGACUACAUAAACAGCAUCGAGAUGGUAUUGUUGGAUGAAAGGUAUAUAUAUAUACACACACAUACACAAACACAUAUAUACGCAACUCCUAAUUACAACAUCUUACCAUAUGCAUAUUAUACUUUUAUAGAAAACCAAAAUACAAGCGAAUAUCAAAAGGUCUCUUUUUACAAAAUUUCAAACAUCAGUCAAGGAACAACAAGUCUUUAUAAUCACCAAUUGAAAAGUAUCUUAAUUCUGGUAAUUAUAUGCACCCUUCUUUCCCUUUUUCUUUGGAUUUUGAUAUUGUGUAUGAAUGGGUCUCCAAUCCUCUAAUCUCUGUUUGUUCAUUUAUUUUCUUUUAUUACCUUAAAAAUCAAUUUAUUUGCUUGAAAGUGUUUGUUUCAUAGUGUUUGUUUGAAAGUGUUAAUACUAGUGUAUGACAGAAUUGUUUGUUUUGUUUAAUUUUAAUAUUUCAGAUCUCAAUGGCCUAAAUGUUCGUAUUAAUUUCUUCGUCUCUGUUUCUGUUCCCUUUACAAGUUUCUACAAAUUGACUUGCCAAAAUGAAAGUUUCCACAAAUUGUUGCAUACUAGCGAUGCAAUCCGUCGACUUGGCAUAUACCACCGGGAAACAAUAUAGUUCAAUCGAUUUCCUAGCUUGCGAAUUGAAACUUGGCCCUCUUUACCAGGUAUUUUUAUUUUUUGGUGAUGUUAUUGUUGAAAAACAGUCUUGUAGAUGACCCAAAAAUUGAUUACUUUUGUUCAUUUCACCAACCCUUUUUUGGGCUUUUCAAGAAAUUGCUUCCUCAUUGCUUGCCUUACUGUUUCUUUUGUGGGUCCUUUUUAUUAUAGUUUAUUAACUCUUACCCCCUUUUGUUAUUACUUUAAGCUAUCUAUCUUUUUACUUGAUUUUGUUUUUGAG
This 1658-nucleotide long non-coding RNA is filed under the name Panax ginseng (ginseng). RNAcentral's name for it is "long non-coding RNA (PGIN_LNC010513)". Lineage: Eukaryota; Viridiplantae; Streptophyta; Magnoliopsida; Apiales; Araliaceae. The record is from RNAcentral.